AAGCACUGUGUGGGAUGUUGUCUGCUCAGUGCUGUGGCUGAUUUUCAUGCCCUGUCUUGCCCCAAGACUUACUCACUGAUCCAUACAUUCCUUUACAGGAACGCACCUGGAUUUCUUCUCUUAUUUUCACACUUGCAUAGUUUUUCCUUUUGGAUGAUAAUGGCUCUUAUAAUUGCUAUGUGACAUACAAUCUGAGAGGCCUAUCCCAGUGUGAAAGUUAAUACACGUCACAUGCUCAGUCCAAAUCAAGAGUUGAAAAGAGAAGCCUUGCCAGCACAGAACAUCAGCACUUUUUAAUUAUGCUCUUUGUGGUAAAAGGUGGGCCAGUGAGAUGACCUACAGGAGGAAGUCAGCACUUUUUGAAUUUUGCAGGGGAACCAUACCGAGAAUCAUGUUUCCAGCACAAAGAAAAUUAAAAAAUAUGGGAGGUGCUUCCUGAGAAUUUAUUUUAGUUAUCAGGCAGCUUUAGGUUAUUUGAUCAACUACACCUGAAUCUUCUCUUGAAGUGGAAAUUUAAACAAAUAUUUUUGCCAGCAGAGAAGAAUGCCUCCAGUA
Molecule: long non-coding RNA, 555 nt
Filed under: Numida meleagris (helmeted guineafowl)
Lineage: Eukaryota; Metazoa; Chordata; Aves; Galliformes; Numididae
Description: lncRNA (ENSNMEG00000019174.1)
Source: RNAcentral